UGUAAUUCUAAUUGUUAUAUAGUUAGUGUCAAAGUUCAAAUUUUUUGUUUGCCGAUUGGUCAAAACCGUGUCACGUUCAUGUCCACAAAAGUCAAGUUGCGCCAAAUCCGUAGAAAUGUAAAUACGGAAAUUCUUGUUAAUUUAUAUAUUAUGCUUUGAUUUAUCCAUAUUUAAUUUAUGGUCUGAUAUUGUGGGGUAAUACAUAUGAAUCAAAUCUAAAUCCUAUUAUUGUUUUGCAAAAGAGAGUUGUGAGGACUAUAACCUUUGCUAAUUUUGACGAACACUCAAGUCCAUUAUUCAAAGCUCUUGGUAUUUUUUAAAUUUUCAGAUUUAAUUUCUCUUCAAAAUUUGCUGUUUAUGCACGAUUUUAAUAAUCAUACUCUUCCUCGUGCUUAAAG
Paramuricea clavata is the source of this 398-nucleotide non-coding RNA. The record is from the annotation of a GenBank genome assembly. NCBI's taxonomy places the organism in Eukaryota, Metazoa, Cnidaria, Anthozoa, Malacalcyonacea, Plexauridae.